Molecule: long non-coding RNA, 421 nt
Filed under: Homo sapiens (human)
Lineage: Eukaryota; Metazoa; Chordata; Mammalia; Primates; Hominidae
Description: HSALNT0321757
Source: RNAcentral
GGAAAAGAAUACUUCACCUAACAACAAAAAAUUGACAUGGCAAGUCAGCAAGCAAAUUUCCAGUCUAAUUUCUGGUGGAAUCUGUCACAGGGAACAAGAAAUUUUGAGAAGAAAAUGAGUUGGACGUUGCUUGGGGUUAGAUGUGAGUAAACCAUCUAUCUCCUCGGAAAAUGGAAGACAGCCACUCAUUUGACAGUGAAGGCUCGGUCAACUGACAGGGCAGACAAUUGACAGAGCCGGAAAAGUGCAUCUGGUGCAUUAUUAAGUAUCAGGAUGAUGAACAGAGUUCAUAAUUAAGCUUGUACUUAACAGCUCAUUGCCUUGAGUAAUAAUAACGAUGACUUUAAAAAAGCAUCCUCCUUUCUUUUCUCUCAUUGUUCUCACAAAUAAAUGUAACAAUGUCAGAGUUGUCAUCACCAGG